AUACGUAGGGGGCAAGCGUUAUCCGGAUUUACUGGGUGUAAAGGGAGCGUAGACGGCGAGUCAAGUCUGAUGUGAAAGGUGAGGGCUCAACCCUUAAACUGCAUUGGAAACUGGUUUGCUAGAGUAUCGGAGAGGUAAGUGGAAUUCCUAGUGUAGCGGUGAAAUGCGUAGAUAUUAGGAGGAACACCAGUGGCGAAGGCGGCGUACUGGACGAUUACUGACGUUGAGGCUCGAAAGCGUGGGGAGCAAACAGGAUUAGAUACCCUGGUAGUCCACGCGGUAAACGAUGAAUACUAGGUGUCGGGUGGCGAUAGCCAUUCGGUGCCGCAGCAAACGCAAUAAGUAUUCCACCUGGGGAGUACGUUCGCAAGAAUGAAACUCAAAUGAAUUGGCGGGG
RNAcentral lists this ribosomal RNA (397 nucleotides) under uncultured bacterium. Its description in RNAcentral is "partial 16S ribosomal RNA". It matches the Rfam family "Bacterial small subunit ribosomal RNA", at positions 523 to 918 of the family's 1533-position model. The record is from RNAcentral.